Molecule: ribosomal RNA, 463 nt
Filed under: uncultured bacterium
Lineage: Bacteria
Description: bacterial SSU rRNA
Rfam family: Bacterial small subunit ribosomal RNA
Source: RNAcentral
CAGUAGUCACGUAGUUGAUCAGUGGCUACAGAACGAACGCUGGCGGCAUGCCUAACACAUGCAAGUCGAACGAGACCUUCGGGUCUAGUGGCGCACGGGUGCGUAACGCGUGGGAACCUGCCUUUAGGUUCGGAAUAACUCAGAGAAAUUUGAGCUAAUACCGGAUAAUGUCUUCGGACCAAAGAUUUAUCGCCUUUAGAUGGGCCCGCGUUGGAUUAGCUAGUUGGUGGGGUAAAGGCCUACCAAGGCGACGAUCCAUAGCUGGUCUGAGAGGAUGAUCAGCCACACUGGGACUGAGACACGGCCCAGACUCCUACGGGAGGCAGCAGUGGGGAAUAUUGGACAAUGGGCGAAAGCCUGAUCCAGCAAUGCCGCGUGAGUGAUGAAGGCCUUAGGGUUGUAAAGCUCUUUACCCGAGAUGAUAAUGACAGUAUCGGGAGAAUAAGCUCCGGCUAACUCCGUG